UACGUAGGCAGCAAGCGUUGUUCGGAAUUACUGGGCGUAAAGAUUGUGUAGGCGGUGCUCUAAGUCUGUCGUGAAAUCUCCCGGCUUAACUGGGAGGGUGCGGCGGAAACUGGAAUGCUAGAGGGUGGGAGAGGAAAGCGGAAUUCCUGGUGUAGCGGUGAAAUGCGUAGAUAUCAGGAGGAACACCUGCGGUGUAGACAGCUUUCUGGACCACUUCUGACGCUGAGACACGAAAGCGUGGGUAGCAAACAGG
This 253-nucleotide ribosomal RNA is filed under the name uncultured bacterium. RNAcentral's name for it is "partial 16S ribosomal RNA". It matches the Rfam family "Bacterial small subunit ribosomal RNA", at positions 524 to 776 of the family's 1533-position model. The record is from RNAcentral.